RNAcentral lists this ribosomal RNA (274 nucleotides) under uncultured bacterium. RNAcentral's name for it is "partial 16S ribosomal RNA". It matches the Rfam family "Bacterial small subunit ribosomal RNA", at positions 523 to 796 of the family's 1533-position model. The record is from RNAcentral.
AUACGGAGGGGGUUAGCGUUGUUCGGAAUUACUGGGCGUAAAGCGUACGUAGGCGGAUUAGUAAGUUAGGGGUGAAAUCCCGAGGCUCAACCUCGGAACUGCCUCUAAAACUGCUAGUCUUGAGUUCGAGAGAGGUGAGUGGAAUUCCUAGUGUAGAGGUGAAAUUCGUAGAUAUUAGGAGGAACACCAGUGGCGAAGGCGGCUCACUGGCUCGAUACUGACGCUGAGGUACGAAAGUGUGGGGAGCAAACAGGAUUAGAUACCCUAGUAGUCC